UUUGUCCUACGGGAGGCAGCAGUGAGGAAUAUUGGUCAAUGGGCUUACGCCUGAACCAGCCAAGUCGCGUGAGGGAAGACUGCCCUAUGGGUUGUAAACCUCUUUUGUCAGGGAACAAAGGCGGGGACGUGUCCCCGGAUGAGUGUACCUGAAGAAAAAGCAUCGGCUAACUCCGUGCCAGCAGCCGCGGUAAUACGGAGGAUGCGAGCGUUAUCCGGAUUUAUUGGGUUUAAAGGGUGCGCAGGCGGUCUGUUAAGUCAGCGGUCAAAGCCCGGGGCUCAACCCCGGCCCGCCGUUGAAACUGG
RNAcentral lists this ribosomal RNA (305 nucleotides) under uncultured bacterium. RNAcentral describes it as "bacterial SSU rRNA". It matches the Rfam family "Bacterial small subunit ribosomal RNA", at positions 333 to 636 of the family's 1533-position model. The record is from RNAcentral.